RNAcentral lists this ribosomal RNA (509 nucleotides) under uncultured bacterium. RNAcentral's name for it is "bacterial SSU rRNA". It matches the Rfam family "Bacterial small subunit ribosomal RNA", at positions 36 to 518 of the family's 1533-position model. The record is from RNAcentral.
CUGGCGGCGUGCCUAAUACAUGCAAGUCGAACGGUCUUUCUAUGGAAGCUUGCUUCCACUGAGAAGAUAGUGGCGAACGGGUGAGUAACACGUGGGUAACCUGCCCAUAAGAGGGGGAUAACAUCCGGAAACGGGUGCUAAUACCGCAUAGUUUUCUUGAUCGCAUGAUUGAGAAAGGAAAGACGGCCUUUGUGCUGUCGCUUAUGGAUGGACCCGCGGCGUAUUAGUUAGUUGGUGAGGUAACGGCUCACCAAGACGAUGAUACGUAGCCGACCUGAGAGGGUGAUCGGCCACAUUGGGACUGAGACACGGCCCAAACUCCUACGGGAGGCAGCAGUAGGGAAUCUUCCGCAAUGGACGAAAGUCUGACGGAGCAACGCCGCGUGAGUGAAAGAAGGUUUUCGGAUCGUAAAACUCUGUUGUCAGAGAAGAACAAGUUGGAGAGUAACUGCUCCAGCCUUGACGGUAUCUGACCAGAAAGCCACGGCUAACUACGUGCCAGCCGCGGC